UACAGAGGUCCCAAGCGUUGUUCGGAUUUACUGGGCGUAAAGGGUGCGUAGGUGGCGGGGUAAGUCUGGUGUGAAAGCUCCGAGCUCAACUCGGAAAAGCAUUGGAAACUAUCCCGCUGGAGGGUCGGAGGGGAGACUGGAAUUCUCGGUGUAGCAGUGAAAUGCGUAGAUAUCUGGAGGAAUACCGGUGGCGAAGGCGGCAUCCUGGACCGGCAUUGACGCUGAUGAGCGAAAGCUAGGGGAGCAAACGGG
RNAcentral lists this ribosomal RNA (252 nucleotides) under uncultured bacterium. Its description in RNAcentral is "partial 16S ribosomal RNA". It matches the Rfam family "Bacterial small subunit ribosomal RNA", at positions 524 to 776 of the family's 1533-position model. The record is from RNAcentral.